AGAGUUUGAUCAUGGCUCAGAUUGAACGCUGGCGGCGUGCCUAACACAUGCAAGUCGAGCGGUAACAGGUGUAGCAAUACAUGCUGACGAGCGGCGAACGGGUGAGUAAUGCUUUGGAAUCUUCCCAGUAGUGGGGAAUAACCAGUCGAAAGAUUGGCUAAUACCGCAUACGUCUGUAAAGGGAAAGCGGGGGCUCGUAAGACCUCGCGCUAUUGGAUGAGCCAAAGUCGGAUUAGCUAGUUGGUGGGGUAAUGGCCUACCAAGGCGACAAUCCGUAGCUGGUCUGAGAGGACGACCAGCCACACCGGAACUGAGACACGGUCCGGACUCCUACGGGAGGCAGCAGUGGGGAAUAUUGGACAAUGGGGGAAACCCUGAUCCAGCGACGCCGCGUGUGUGAAGAAGGCCUGCGGGUUGUAAAGCACUUUUAGUGGGGACAAAAAGCUACGGAUUAAUACUCUGUGGUCUUGAUUUAACCCAAAGAAAAAGCACCGGCUAACUCUGUGCCAGCAGCCGCGGUAAUACAGAGGGUGCGAGCGUUAAUCGGAAUUACUGGGCGUAAAGCGCGCGUAGACGGUUUUGUAAGUCAGAUGUGAAAUCCCCGGGCUCAACCUGGGAACUGCAUUUGAAACUGCAUGGCUAGAGUAUCGAAGAGGGAAGUGGAAUUUCCGGUGUAGCGGUGAAAUGCGUAGAUAUCGGAAGGAACACCAGUGGCGAAAGCGACUUCCUGGUCGAAUACUGACGUUCAUGUGCGAAAGCGUGGGGAGCAAACAGGAUUAGAUACCCUAGUAGUCC
This 795-nucleotide ribosomal RNA is filed under the name uncultured bacterium. Its description in RNAcentral is "bacterial SSU rRNA". It matches the Rfam family "Bacterial small subunit ribosomal RNA", at positions 8 to 796 of the family's 1533-position model. The record is from RNAcentral.